GACAUAGCAUAAAGGUUGAAAUAAUGUGGAAUAAGGAAAUAAUAUAUUUCCAUAAAAAUUACGUGAAAUAUAAGAAAACAAAUUUUCCCAUAUGAAAAUAAGGAAACAAUUUAUUUUAUAAAAAAAAAUCCAUCCUAAUUUUGGUCACAAACCCAACAAUAUCCACAUUGACCCUUCUGGUGCAACGAACGAAACUCCAAGAUUUUAAAUACGUCUUCAUCGAAAUAGUCAAUAUCCUCAACACAGUAACUAAAACUUUCCAAACCAAACCGUCAUCCUCUGCAAGCCGUCCACAAGCAACACCUGAACCCAAAUCCCGAGAUUCCAAAAUUCCACCAAGAAAUUACUGUUAAUCAAAUAGGGUCGAAGCACACAUGUAGUAGAAACCAUACCACAUGCUGGAUCAAAAGGCCCCUUGCUAUAACUGUCGCCUUCAACGUCCCCAAAAACAUUCCAAACAUUAUUCACACCACGGUACCUACGUUCCAUGAGUUCAACCUUAGCAAAUGAACAGAGUGUAUUCGCUGAAAUUGGUGGCAAAAUGGAAUCACCAAUACUAAUUUGAGCAAUGUUUUGAACUGACCCAGAGUCCGUCACAAGAGGUACUGUACCAAACUGAGCAUCCAGUACGGUACUGAACUUGUCCGGAUAUAUCUUAACUGGUUCUGCGCUUCCCUACAAGACGUACAACUGAGAUUUUGUUCGUCCCUCCAAUACAACCCGGACAUCCAUUCGGACUUUCAAAACUCCACCUCCACUAGAGAAUUUAUAUCAUUUUGCAUCUAGAGUACUAAAUGAGAUGAGAUUCCUUUUAAGAUCUGAAACAUGUCAAACCUGAUCAAUUGUUCUAACUGUCCCAUCCCAUAGCCUAAGUCUGACUCGACCGAUCUCAGCAAUACGGCAAGAUUGAACGUUUUCCAUUACAACUCCACCUUGCUGGACAGCCUCAUAUGUCUAAAAGAAAUUUCGAUUGUAACAUAUAUGAUGCAAACAUACUGAAUCAAGAAUCCAAUCCUCGUUAAGCUUAGAUUCCACGUGAGAUAUCACGGUCAACAUCACAUUUCCAAUGUCUGAAAAAUUCUCAACUACAUUUGUUUCGUCUGAAGUCAAAGGUUGCGCUGCACGAUUUGCAGCUAAAUCACCUUUAGCCUGCAACUUAUCACAAUCCUUUGAAUAUGUCCCUUUUUCCUACAGUAAAAGCAGGACAAUUGUCGAAGUUCAUCCUCGAUCUAUCUCUCCGUCGAUUACCAUGAGAUACCAGAGCUUCCUCAUCCCUUCAUGUUGCUCCGACCAAAUGCUUCAACUUCUCCUUUGAGUGCAAAGCAUCAUAAACGUCGUCUAUAGUCAAAGUAUCCCGACUAUACAAAAUGGUAUCCCAAAACGACUUAUAAGAGCCAGGCAACGAACAUAAUAAGAUCAAGGAAAAAUCCUCUAUAUCGUACUUAACAUCUAACAUUUCCAAAUCUGCAAUAAUUUCCUUGAACACGGUAAUAUGGUUUUCCAACGACUCUCCUUCCGCUAUGCGAUGGGAAUACAGCUUCUGCUUUAGAGUCAGUUUACUGGUAAGACUCUUGGUCAUACAUAACUACUCCAAUUUCAACCACAAAGUAAUUAAUGUUUUCUCCUUCAAGACAUCCUGCAAAAUAUAGUUAGAUAAAUGAAGAUGAAUCAACGAUAAAACCUUUUGAUCCCUCCGUUGUCCAAUUAGUUUGCAUUUUCUCAAAAUCCAGCAACACAUUAUCCAAAUCCAACUGUGUCAAAAUAACUCCCAUCUUUACUUGCCACAAAGAAAAUCUUGUAUUGCGAUUCAAUUGCAGAAUAUCCUACUUCAAAGCAGCUGUAUCUGAAAAACCUCAACCAAUCUACAACAAGAACCAAGCUCUAAUACCACUUAUUGAACUCGGAAGGAUUUUAGUGAAUGAAAUUAAUGCAACGAUAUGAAGUAACGAAGAUCGCAAUGUGUAACAAUAUUUAAAAGUAAGAAAUUAACAAAAAGAGUUAAUCGUAGAAGUACGACAUUUUAUUAAUUGACAAUAUAGAGAGAAAUACAAGAGCUCGAUAAUUCUUGCUUGAACAAAACUGAAAAAGAG
Molecule: long non-coding RNA, 2090 nt
Filed under: Olea europaea subsp. europaea
Lineage: Eukaryota; Viridiplantae; Streptophyta; Magnoliopsida; Lamiales; Oleaceae
Source: RNAcentral